GCCAUGCAAGUCUCAGUACAUGCCUAACUAAGGUGAAACCGCAAAAGGCUCAUUAAAUCAGUUAUGGUUCCUUGGAUCUUAAACAGUUACUUGGAUAACUGUGGUAAUUCUAGAGCUAAUACAUGCAAACAAGUCCCGACCAGAGAUGGGAGGGACGCUUUUAUUAGAUCAAAACCGAUCGGCGUCCGGCUCCGGCCGGCGCCGUCUCUUUUGGUGACUCUGGAUAACUUUUAGCCGAUCGCACGGUCACAGUACCGGCGACGCAUCUUUCAAAUGUCUGACUUAUCAACUGUCGAUGGUAGGCUCUGCGCCUACCAUGGUUGUAACGGGUAACGGGGAAUCAGGGUUCGAUUCCGGAGAGGGAGCCUGAGAAACGGCUACCACAUCCAAGGAAGGCAGCAGGCGCGCAAAUUACCCACUCCCGGCACGGGGAGGUAGUGACGAAAAAUAACGAUACGGGACUCAUCCGAGGCCCCGUAAUCGGAAUGAGUACACUUUAAAUACUUUAACGAGUACCAAUUGGAGGGCAAGUCUGGUGCCAGCAGCCGCGGUAAUUCCAGCUCCAAUAGCGUAUAUUAAAGUUGUUGCGGUUAAAAAGCUCGUAGUUGGAUCUGUGUGCCACGCUGUCGGUUCACCGCCUGUCGGUGUCAACUGGCAUGUCUGUGGGACGUCCUGCCGGUGGCGGUACGGGCUGCCGGCGCUGCGUAGGGGCUCGCCCCCGAAGCACGCCGGCGUGUCCCGGUCCGCCGAUCCAAUCCCGCCGCGGUGCUCUUCACUGAGUGUCGAGGUGGGCCGGCACGUUUACUUUGAACAAAUUAGAGUGCUCAAAUCAGGUCGUAUUUAGGCCUGAAUACUG
This 856-nucleotide ribosomal RNA is filed under the name Hyalessa maculaticollis. Its description in RNAcentral is "SSU rRNA". It matches the Rfam family "Eukaryotic small subunit ribosomal RNA", at positions 48 to 804 of the family's 1831-position model. Lineage: Eukaryota; Metazoa; Arthropoda; Insecta; Hemiptera; Cicadidae. The record is from RNAcentral.